Molecule: long non-coding RNA, 1167 nt
Organism: Canis lupus familiaris (dog)
Lineage: Eukaryota; Metazoa; Chordata; Mammalia; Carnivora; Canidae
Exons: 7
Source: RefSeq, a predicted model, not a curated record
CCACAAAAUACAGCUUGGUCAUCUACCUUCAUUAGAAUUUGAUAUUAUGGAAUUCUGUAUUUUAUUCUCGAUUCUUCUAUCUUCUAAUGACAUUUGUUUGGAAAUGGAACAAGUAAGCAAGAAGCAGCUACUAUAUGACUGAAGUCGGUUUCAAGUGAAGAAAAUUAGUGAAGGAUGCGGUUGAGUGUUAAAUGGCUGAUAUUUUAUUGGCAGCUCUAACUGAAAGUUCUACUUACAUAAACAAGACUGCUUUGCUUCAGAGGGUGUCUAAAACGUAGAAUAGCAUGUCAACAUUAUCAAGUCGACUAGCUGGUGUUCUCAUCCAUCAUUUUCAGUUCUGAGUAAUAAUGAGCACAUUUUGAAAACAAAGCACACAUAUUGCAAUGUAACUCUUCGGGAGGGGGAUUAAGAUUUUAAGAAAUGCACAAGUCGUCCCAGAAAUGAGGCUUAGCAAAGAGACUUUAAAAGUGUGGCCUAGGAGAACAUUUACAGCAUUGGUUCAUCAAGCAGGGUGCAACAGAGAUCACCGCCAUGUCUGAUUUUCUCAUUUUUCAUUAAUAUAUUGGCUGAAGAGUUAGAAACAUAUUAAUAAAACAUGUCAGCACUUUACAAAUUGAUAAGAGACAUGAUAUCACCCAGUCGUGGAUUAUGGAGAAUUGAUGUGCUCACCGUGGACCCGAGUGGCAAACACAAGUGGAAGAAGUCUCCACUUUUUCUGUGAAAAUGCUCCCUACAGCUUGCAGCAACACAACUUUAAAAAGGGCUGUUGCCAGCGAGAAGAGAAGGCCUUUCUUCAUCCUGCUGGGAUAGAAAAAUACGGAUUUGCAAGUGUUGCAUUUCUCUACCUGCUGUGGCCCAUUUGGAGUCAUGGAAUGCCCCACCACUUCCCUAUUAUGAGCCAGUUUUUUAGGUACUGGCAAAGCAGUAAUGGACAAAAUAGACAACGAUCCCUGCUCUUACAUAAAAAUGAGAGAGAAAGCACAAGCAGGGGCAGCAGUAGAGGGAGAAGGAGAAGCAGACUCCCUGAUGAGCAGGAGCUCAACGCAGGACUCUAUCCCAAGGACCCUGAGAUCAUGACCUGAGCAGAUGCUUAAGUGACUGACCCACCCGGUACCCCAGAACUGGAUGUCUUUACACAAUCAAAUUCAAAUUAUUUCAUAACUAUAU